Long non-coding RNA from Pseudomyrmex gracilis, 380 nucleotides. RefSeq lists it as uncharacterized. The transcript is spliced from 3 exons. The record is from RefSeq and is a predicted model, not a curated record. Lineage: Eukaryota; Metazoa; Arthropoda; Insecta; Hymenoptera; Formicidae.
UCGUAAACAAACCCUGGUUCAGUUCGGACGCAGCGAACACCCGAAGACCCUCUUCACCCCCACCAUCAGUGUAACACACUUCGGCUUCUUACUUCGUCGAGACCGCCGGCACAGGAAAAUGUAGGCGAGCGGGCACCAGGUGCGGAGCGCGACAGUUUACCUGCACCCUACGGGGUCGGUGCUUGAACAAUCCGUACGCGACGAUAACACAGGCGUGAUUAGAAUUUGAAAAAUUCCUUCACACUUUGAACAAAUAUGAGAAGAGAUCCUCGAAAUAUAGUUUAGAGCAGACUCGUAAUUUGAUCCAAAAUCGCCCCGGCAACCACAUCCGCCUCCUCUAGUGCUGCACACUGAGGCGCAAUCAUCGGGAACGUCCGGAA